UACGGAGGGUGCAAGCUUAUCCGGAUUCACUGGGUUUAAAGGGUGCGUAGGAGGGCAGGUAAGUCAGUGGUGAAAUCUCCAAGCUUAACUUGGAACUGCCGUUGAUACUAUCUGUCUUGAAUACCGUGGAGAUGAGCGGAAUAUGUCAUGUAGCGGUGAAAUGCUUAGAUAUGACAUAGAACACCAAUUGCGAAAGGCAGCUCGUUACACGAAUAUUGACUCUGAGGCACGAAAGCGUGGGGAUCAAACAGG
RNAcentral lists this ribosomal RNA (252 nucleotides) under uncultured bacterium. Its description in RNAcentral is "partial 16S ribosomal RNA". It matches the Rfam family "Bacterial small subunit ribosomal RNA", at positions 524 to 776 of the family's 1533-position model. The record is from RNAcentral.